This 497-nucleotide ribosomal RNA is filed under the name uncultured bacterium. RNAcentral describes it as "partial 16S ribosomal RNA". It matches the Rfam family "Bacterial small subunit ribosomal RNA", at positions 28 to 507 of the family's 1533-position model. The record is from RNAcentral.
GAUGAACGCUGGCGGCGUGCCUAAUACAUGCAAGUCGAGCGAACAGACGAGGAGCUUGCUCCUCUGACGUUAGCGGCGGACGGGUGAGUAACACGUGGAUAACCUACCUAUAAGACUGGGAUAACUUCGGGAAACCGGAACUAAUACCGGAUAAUAUAUUGAACCGCAUGGUUCAAUAGUGAAAGACGGUUUUGCUGUCACUUAUAGAUGGAUCCGCGCCGCAUUAGCUAGUUGGUAAGGUAACGGCUUACCGAGGCGACGAUGCGUAGCCGACCUGAGAGGGUGAUCGGCCACACUGGAACUGAGACACGGUCCAGACUCCUACGGGAGGCAGCAGUAGGGAAUCUUCCGCAAUGGGCGAAAGCCUGACGGAGCAACGCCGCGUGAGUGAUGAAGGUCUUCGGAUCGUAAAACUCUGUUAUUAGGGAAGAACAAAUGUGUAAGUAACUAUGCACGUCUUGACGGUACCUAAUCAGAAAGCCACGGCUAACUACGUG